GCCCGCUUGGCUUAGUGGUAAAGCGUCGCACUUGUAACCCCGCCAACUGAGGCGAAAUUUCAAUUGAUGCGAAGAUCAAGAGUUCAAUUCUCUUAGUGGGCA
Molecule: non-coding RNA, 102 nt
Organism: Kalaharituber pfeilii
Lineage: Eukaryota; Fungi; Ascomycota; Pezizomycetes; Pezizales; Pezizaceae
Source: the annotation of a GenBank genome assembly